Molecule: long non-coding RNA, 1563 nt
Organism: Neopelma chrysocephalum (saffron-crested tyrant-manakin)
Lineage: Eukaryota; Metazoa; Chordata; Aves; Passeriformes; Pipridae
Exons: 4
Source: RefSeq, a predicted model, not a curated record
GAACUGGAGCAGGUUUCAUCUCCUCUGGACUGUGGCCUCACCCUGAUUUCUGGGCAUUAGGAUCUGGUGGUCCUCACCUCUGCCUUGGAGACCUCAGGGAUGCAGGGUGAAUAUUUUUUGCUCUCUCACCUAGCACUGCACCUGAAACUGAAAGUGAAGUCCAGAUAUAUUAAAGACAGGCAGCAAAAUCCCUGGAACAUACUCAGGGUUUCCAGAAGCUUGUCAUUGUUUGGAUCUAUCUUUCUGUCUCUUGGAGUCCCUGGAAUCAGCUGUAAGUGUCCCCACAUCAGUGAUGCUGAAAGCCAGGGCAGAUGGCUUCAAUCCCCCUGCAGUGUGACCUUCAGGGUAAGAUCUGCUUCCUAGUGAAACAGAGCUUUCCUUUCUCUGCAUGGGGCUGGUGGGUGCAUCAGUUAUUGUGUUCUUUAGUUGACUUAGCAGAAGGGUAGUUAGCUGAUUGUUAUAUGAUGCCUUUUACUUUAAAGGUUUACUUAUUUAUUUAAGCAGUAUUUACAAUACUGACUGAUUCCUCAGAUUUCCACUUCUUUAGAUCUGCCCUGAAUGUGAAGUGUUGUCCAUCAAACCAUGUGGUGGGGAAUAACAACCCCCUCAAACUGCAGCCCAGGUUUGAGGUGACAGUAGUUGGUGCUGUGGUGGCAGCUCUGCUGAUCCCCCUGAGCAAGGUGUGUGUGGUACACCAGGGUCUGUUGGUCUGGUGCUCAAUGCAGAGCUGGGUUAUGCUCAGUGAGGACUAGUGUGGUGUUUGAGUAGGCCACAACAGUUCCUCACAGUCUUGAGAAAUCCUUUGUUCAGUCUUAGGGAUUUACUCCUGUGGGACUUGGGAAAUUCAGUUAGAGAGCCUCAGCUCUUCCCCAUUAGGAUAAUAGAGGACUAUCUAGGAGCAUGCUGUACGAUCCCUCUAAGUCAGUAUCCUCUCUCUGAGUCAUAGCAGUGCCUUUUCCCAAAGUGACAGACUGGUUUGAUAGGAUACAGUUGUGUCAGAGUUGGAAGUACACAAGUGCAGUUAUUAAAAAUGAAUGCUGUAUCCUCUUUCCCUUGUGUAUCUUGUCACUGACAUGACUUCACAAGUUGCAAAUCUAUUAAACAUUUCAAACAUGAAACUAGAGCUCAUUAAGCAGAAUGUUGUCUGGUAUAUAGCAAACUGCUUCAAAUUCAAGACUGCUAAUCUUUGUCUCCAGAGCUUUUUGUCUUCUAGGUUGUCACCAAGCAAUCCAGCUGUCUGGGAAUACAGCUUGUGCUUCAUCUGAUCAGAGUGUGACUGUCCUUUGGGGUGAGGUAGUAGGUUGUAUAGUUUUAGGGCUAUGCCCUGCCUGUCACAUAACUAUACAAUCUACUGUCUUUCCUGAAGUGGCUGUGAUACCAGCGCUGGAUGUGCCUUUGAAAGACAACACUGAGAUUUUGCAACUGUAACAUUCUCUGGCUCUGUCUGUACCUUGCAUUUGGCUCUUGUACACACAUGUCCUUACAGAGUUUCGAUUCCUCUAUUUCCCAUUCAGGCCCCAAAGCCAUUUCCUUCCUGUGGUUUUCUCAGAGCAGGUGGGGUGU